RNAcentral lists this long non-coding RNA (813 nucleotides) under Cottoperca gobio. RNAcentral's name for it is "lncRNA (ENSCGOG00000007286.1)". Lineage: Eukaryota; Metazoa; Chordata; Actinopteri; Perciformes; Bovichtidae. The record is from RNAcentral.
AAAGCCGUGUGAGCAGCAACAUAUCAGACAGUGGACAGACUCUUGGCAUUGUGAGGUUAGCAGCAAAUUUAAGUCCUAUACGUUCUCACAGUAGCUCACCAUGGCACACGAAUUGGAGUCUGAAUACGCCAACAUACAUGCGCUUCAGGGAACUGAAACAAACAGCACUGAGCAGUCGGGUGCAGGUGCGACACCCACAGAGAGGAGACUUUUCAGGAUUGGGAUUUUAACUUUAGCAGUGUUGUGCAUCGUACAAGCCAGUCUCAAUAUCUCCCUGGGCCUCGCCUUUUAUUCAAAAGAAGAUACUGAUCACUUCCCUUUCAGCUCUGUAAUAGCAGACGUGUGCCAGAUUGACCAGACUCAACAGAAUUCAACCCAGUCAUGUUCCUGCUACAAGAACCUGCUGAGAAGGCGUUUUAUUGAAUAUAAGGCUCUGGAAACAGAGAGAGACAUCUUACGCAACAAGGUUAUUCAACUUACAGGAGAGUGUGAAUAUUGCCAGGAGUCCGGGUCUGGUUCCCUGAAGGAAUUCAGUUGAUGUCGGCAAACGUUGCUUUUCAGUGGAGACCACAGAAGUAUGAGUAUAGACUUCAAAUACAGUGGAAACUGCUUCUAGUGUUCUACCGCUUAUAUGAGACAUGUCAAACUUAAGGCUCGCAGUACAAUUAUAUCCAGCCUGCGAUAUUAUGAAUAUUAUCCAAUACGUCUAUCCUGUUCAAUAAAUGUUGACCCUGUUUGGCCCUCGAUGUGGUCCUAGUUUUUAAUCGUGGCCCUCUCUGUUAUUGAGUUUGACACCCCUGGUUUAUAUGGGAC